AGCCUGUACAGUGACAACUGACCGAAUCCUUUCCCAGUACACAGAUCUGGAGCUGGCUCUCAUCAUCGUCGUAGCUAUACUCAUUUUACUGCUUAUCAUCAUGAUAGUGCUGGUCCUUAUACUCCAUCUGAGGAAACAGAAGCAAAAGGAAGGCCGAUUAGUAAAAGGGGAACUUAACGAUGGUCAUGAUACGAUGGUCCGAGGGCAGCAUAUGGGACUGACGAAAAUGUGAGAGACACUCAAGAACUCUAACUUCAGCUUCAUUCCAAGUGUUUCCCAUGGAUUUGCUCAACACUUGUUGGAUCGCCUUCUGAGAACAAAAAACCAUAGAAAUCAAUGAACAUUUAAAAACUGAUGUUUAGGUUAUGCUCUUAGCUUUGUUGGAUGAAGCAGAUUUUUUGCUCUUUUUUUUCAAUGCUGAAAGUGAUUUUGUUGCCAUACAUGUACAGGGAUGAGAUUGUUGGCAAUUCAUUUGUGGAAAGGGAUUCAUAAAAAACCUAAGGAUUCAGAAGUCAAAAAUGUGACUUUGUCUUCCUGUCCCUAUCAUCUAGAUGUUUGAAAAUGUUUGAUAUGUUGAUUCACAAAGUGAU
Liolophura sinensis is the source of this 590-nucleotide long non-coding RNA. RefSeq lists it as uncharacterized. NCBI's taxonomy places the organism in Eukaryota, Metazoa, Mollusca, Polyplacophora, Chitonida, Chitonidae. The transcript is spliced from 3 exons. The record is from RefSeq and is a predicted model, not a curated record.